GUCUCCGACACGCUCGUCCUCACCGUGUCUGGAGGCGCAAAAAGACAAAUUCAACUGCCGGCGCUUUGAGUUUGGAAUCCACUGCGUCGGCUAGUUAGGCCAUCGUGGGGUAAAUCUCCCCCCGGUGACCAAAUCCCUGCUUACCAGCGGCUAGCGGUUGCGAGUCGGCGCCUGUGUUGGAGUCCAGGAGAGAGUGGAUCCAGUUGGACGCGCCCUGCCGGAAGUCUCGGAGCAGCAGCGCCGUGUCCCUCCUCACCGUGGUGAGUGUGCUCAGCUUCUCCACCUGCUUUUCUGUCUGCGGCUCAUUACCUGGAGUGGGGCAGAAGCUUCAAUUACGGAUCGAGGGAAGGUCAUAAAAGAAAAAAGAAACAAAUGUGAUGAUUCGAGACAAUUUCAGCCAAGAGGGAAUAAAAACAAAUAAUAGUUAUUGAUGGCAACCAAACGCUAGACAAUAUAUAUAGGAUUAAUUACCACAGCCCCCUCCACCUGUCAGACAAAAUGUUAUUGCGAGUGCCGAUUAUUUACACGCCACAAUGAGAAGAGUCGCAAAGUAAUAUAUAUGUAUGCAAAUAGCGAGAAGUGGCGGGCUUUACAGGAAUGACUCCUGCAAGGGAAGAAAUUACUUAAGAAAAUAAUCACUUUCUAAAGAGUUUCAUUCACAUCUGUGAGGGCAAGUGAAUUUCCUUUGUGAGCAUUAAAUCUAAAAAUAAUCUGUGCUUUAAAAUGAAUGCUGACGUUUAUGUUGAACAUUCUACGUGGAAGCUGGGACUCGGUGUACCUGACUGCGCGUUGAGUCAUGUGAAAAGCAAAGCGUGCGGGAGGACGGCGGCCACGCACCUGUGUAGGCGCUGACACACCUGGAGAGCACGCUGAGUGGCACCAUGGGGUCCAUGAGGCUGAGGAGCCGGGACGGCGAGGCGUAGGCAGUGAGUAGCAAGGCUGGGUAGGUGGCCACCAGGCCGUCUGGCAUGCGCACACCGUAGGUGGCUGCCCGCAUCGACGUGGUCACGCACAGGUUGCCCCCAGCGCUGUCGCCCGCGAGGCAGACUUUCUCGCCGGUCCAGCCUGGCAGGGAAAGGGGCAGAUCAUGAACACUUUAUUUUAAAUCCGUUAUGAGAUCCUUUAGUCUGAGGGAGGUUGGGAAAAACAGGAAUGCGGGGAGAGUACUGCACAUACCGAGCAGCUGGUGGUUCCGCAAAGCCCAGCAGUACGCAAAGAAGCACUCCUCCAAGGCCCGCGGAAAAGGGGCUUCAGGGGCCAGGGAGUAGUCCACUGACAGAAUGGGGACGCCCAAGUCCUGAGACCAGCUCUUCAGGUAGGGCUGCACAAAAAGAGCCAAAGGGAACGUUAGAUGUGCGGAUGAAGCCACGAGAAACAACAGCUGGCACAAAAAAGCAUAGAGGAAGAUAAGAGGGCUAAGACAAGAGGAGGGGGGCAUAAAACUUUAUCGGUGUCUGCGAUGUGGAGUGUCUGCUUUCCGGCUUUAUUGUCUAGACAGAGGAGCUACACAGUGCGGUCACCAACAAAAGACGUCCUCAUUUGAUGAGAACGCAAAAGGGAACGGCGUGAAGAGCUGCCGCAAGAUUAACGACGAGCUCAAAAGUUCUCUCUCCAAGUUUUGCAUGUCAUGGAAGCGGACUGUGAUGACUCAGCACUUCCAGAAACUCAGCGGUGACACCUUGAGAGUUCUGCUGUCAAAAUAAUUAAUCGUAGUGCGCUCAAGUGAGCCCGUGCAGCCAGCAAAGGAAAGCGUGAACGGGACAAUCGUCACAAAUUUGCCGUUACGAUCAUCCUCUCUUUUGAUGCGUACCUAUGCAAUUUACGUUUACCUUGUAUGUGGAGUUUUUUUUCCUUUUGUCUAAUAAGAAAUAUUUCAAUACUUAUCUGAAAUGGUACUUCUCAAUGGAAAUUCCAUAAAACCAUUCUAGCUCCCCCACCUAAAGAAUUAAAAAUGUCUCUCGUGUUAUAUUUUACACAAGCGUACCGUGAUGAGGAAGUAAAACCGUUUUUCUUGUAUUUUUUUGUUUCAAAUUCAAUGGACGUUGUGCUGCUCCUUCCGUUGUAUGCGACUUUACCACCUGGUAAUAACAAUCCUCUUUUCUUCCCAAACAACGACUUGGUCUGUUUCGUGAACUUACUUUUCUUGGACAGAGUUAACCAUAUUUGCGCGAUCCUAUCUUGUAAAAAACACAGCUCUUGCACUGGAUCUCUUGAGAGGCUGCUCGGGUACAAUAGUGUCUAGUGCGUGUGUCCGAACUGUCACUGCUGAAGCGAGUGUCAGAGAUUAUGUGCAGCUCUGCCAGUCAGGCCAGCUCAUCAUUCACGAACUGCAAGGGAACAAAACAAAUGGUCGACUCGACAGGCGAUAAGGAAUUGUGUGUGCGUGUGUAUGUGUGUGUGCGCGUGCGAGGUUAGUUAAUUUUACAUGACUCCAGAAAGCCUUGUGGUGCACACACGUUCUGGCAGCCAAGAACAAAAUUCUCAAACACACAUCUGCUCUUUAGCGCUGCACAAAGGGCGCAGCGAGUGAGCGCAAUUCAUGCAUUUUCAAUGGCAGUCAGCAUGAGGGAGCAAACAUGAGCAGAGCAUCUGGCCUAUCUGGACUAGUGCAGGUGCUGCGACUGCCGUCCGAGCAACAUUACGGGGAGGACAUGUGAUAUGACCGGCAACUGCUCUGAAACAGACCCUCACCCCGGUUCGAAGAGGGUGUGCACAUUUUUAUGAUGCCACAACCCAUCACUUUGUCCCUGCGCCUGUCGACCUCGUCAAUUUGGUUCCUUUCACACCUCAGAGGAGGAACAAGCAGCGACAUUGCUCAUGUUUGCCUUUGCUGGCUCGGUAAGAAAAAUUAUAUUUGUAUUUGGUAAUUGUACCUCAUGGGAUUUGGAGGUCUGAGCCACAAAGCCUCCGCCAUGGAAGUGGAUGAGGAGGCAGGAGGACGGCGGCAGCCGCUUGGCCUUCAUCCCCAGUGAGAGUGAGAUGGCGCCCGCAUCAGAGCGGGUGAGCGAGAGCAGGCUCUCGCUGUCCUGGAGCGAGAGAACACAAGUGUAAAACAAUGUUUCGGGACUUCAGUUGAGGGCAGCGCAAUAGAGUGUGCUGGUAUUUAGUGGUCGGUGGUGGAAUUACACCAAAAAUAUCCAUCCAUCCAUCCAUUUUCUGUCCCGCUUUAUCUCCACGGGAUUCGCGGGCGUGCUGGAGCCUAUCCCAGCAGUCAUCGGGCAGUAGGCGGUGGACACCCUGAAUUGGUUGUCAGCCAAUCACAGGGCACACAGAGACGAACAACAACUGCACUCGCACCUAAGGGCAAUUUGGAGUGCUCAAUCAGCCUACCAAGCAUGUUUUUGGAAUGUGGGAGGAAACCGGAGUGCCCGGAGAAAACCCACGCGGGCAUGGGGAGAACAUGCAAACUCCACACAGGGAGGGUCGGAGGUGGAAUCGAACCAGCACUCUCCUAACUGUGAGGUGGUCGUGCUAACCAGUGCGCCACUGAGCCGCCACACAAAAAAUACCAAUGCAAUUUUUUAUGCAUGCGGUGCAAAAGCAGCCUUGUUAAAGUCAAAUGACAGUGUGAAGUCCGCCCAUCGCCACGACAGGUACCUGUCCUUCCCGCAGCUCGUAGGAGAUGAGCCUCAUCUGGACAGGGUUGGUGCCAAUGUGUGCCGAGGGCUGCGGUAUGGUCACUGAGGCUCGCGGAUUGGCUGCCAGCGGAAGGUCGAAGGGCAUGGAAGGCACGGAAAGCGCUCGGUUCACCUUGACCGUCACGGACGUCAUACUGACCAGACUCUGCAAGGCGGCGGGAGGAGGAGUGCAUAUUGAGAAAAGGCGAUUGUGCGUUACACAGUGAGUUCACUGGAGGGAAAGAGAAACCUCAUGAAUAAAUCAUAAAUGGCGCAGAAUAAAUUGAAUUCGCCUCUAUUAUCAUCGUGGGCACCAAGGCAUAAUGAUAGCGGGACGUCUCCCAACAGGCACACAAGUAUUGAAGACAAACAUGUCGUCACUUAGCCAGCUACAGGUAUAAAUGAAGUGAACUCCUCUUUGAUAGUCUCAACAUGCAGCCAGUCUUGAAUUUGCCAAGUAUUGAAGUAGGGCCGGAUUUGUGAAUUUUACCAUAUUUUGAAAUUUGGGCGUGGGGGGCUUCCGCCUCCACUUACCGAUAGCAGUUCAGUCUCUGUGACGUUCCAGUAGGUCUUCCAGAAAUGGAUGUCGAGAUUCUGGGUGAUGCGCUCAAACUCGGCCCCCCUCAACUCGGGGUCGAUGACGUACUUGCCCGACGUGAAAAUGGAGCUGGCCACCACACCUGGGGCAAAAGACCAGGACGGCCCAUGUAAAACGACACCGGUGCAAUUUGCGCGGCGGCCGGGCAGUGAAAGUAAUCAAAGGGGGGAAAGAAAGGAUGGGAGCAACAAGUACACUUGUGUUGCAGGGAGUGAAAAUUAUUAAAAGUCAAAGAAUAGUUGCAGAAGCCUCUCAGAUCCGUCCAUGUUUUACGUCGACUCGACUCCUGCAACUAUACUUGAUGGACGAGCACUACUGGCGCGUUCAAGGUUUUUUUUUUUCUGAGAGGACUCCGUUCACAUUUACUCACUAUAUGGUGCAAUACCUGUUAGGGUUUACAGAAUAUCUUCAUGGUAUGAUUAUGUUGGAAUGUAACCUGUAAUAAUUUACCUAGCUUGUCCUGUCUUAACAAAAGUAGUAGAACAAAGUGCUAAGAUCUUUUCAACUGAUUUAACUAGCUGCAAAGGAAGCAAUCAAAGUUGCUUUGUUUACACGUCGUCGUAAAAGACCCCCUGCUAUGCUUUAAUCGGCAGGCCAGGGGCUUCACCCCAUCCUGUCUUCCCACACCCCCACUUUCAACCCCACUCUGUUUCUCUCAAUAAAUAUGCACCUGAUGAGGCCUGAGUCAGAUCUCAUUCGACCAUCGCUGUAAGCACAGCGACGAAUGAACUCUCCACCUGCAGGUGUCUGAAACUUGUCUCCAGUGUGGUUCUUGCAAAAUAAGUUAGAGUGAGCACCACCCUAACAAUACCCCCUGCCUCCACUGGGGCACAACAGAGAGCACAAAAAAAGAGCGAGUUGAAUUGCAGCCAGACAUAUAAACUCCGUGAAAAAAGGCGUACAAAAUUAAUAGUUUAACUGUCGUUUGGUUAUACAGUGGCUUCUCGUUAUAUUUCUCGUUCCGUGUGUCCAAACACACUAUCAAAGAAAUGAAAUGAAAAAGCACAUUUGCUGUGCGCUGUCCUAUCUUAGGCAGCUGCUCCAUGAGGCACCAACACGAACCAGAGCCCCCAACCAUGCCACUUUUGCCAAUGGCAUUUGAAGGCAUUUCAGCAAAUGCAGCAUUUCAAGGGGGAGUGAAUUCUCAGCUAGCCAGUGCAAAGUGCUCUCAGCGUUCACGUUGUACAUAUCAAUAUCUACCCAAGGCUCUUCUGGUGUUUACAAGACUUUUACAAGGUUCUAAAAUGCGGAGAGAACUGCAGGCGACCGUCGGAGAUUCCGGAAGGAUGAAAGAGCAUGCAACACAUACGUGGCACGAAAAGAUGCGAGAGAGGGGGGAGGUGAGGGAGAAGGGUAGAGGGUGGAAGCGGCGAGGCGAGAACAACCCUUGAAUGACAAUGAGAACGGUGCUGACCUAUUCCAGACUGAUUGCGCUUGUAGUUCUCUCCAAAGGCCACGAGGCCGAUGGCGAUGGUCUGUAGGGACGGACGGAUAGCCGGGGUGAACUGGUGGGGCAAAAGCAGAAAAUCGGGACCUUGAAUGCCAUAGUCACGUCGCGUUCCUCAAGCAAAAAAAAAACAAAACAACAGAUGACAUCUUACGCAACACUUGGUUAAACUAUUUGAAUUUUCCCAAACAUGUGCCAGUAGGGGUGUAAUUCCACUGCCGACCACUAGCAGCACACUAUCUAACAAAGAUGGGAGUCAAUUUGAAAGCAAAACAAAUGUUGAAUUUUCUUUGAAUGACUUCCUCUGUAAUCCUUCUUUUUAUGCCUACGGUAAGCAAUGGCUAACGGUUCAUCUCAUAAUGUAAAUGUUUUUUA
This is a long non-coding RNA of Syngnathus typhle (broad-nosed pipefish), 6037 nucleotides long. RefSeq lists it as uncharacterized. The record is from RefSeq and is a predicted model, not a curated record. Lineage: Eukaryota; Metazoa; Chordata; Actinopteri; Syngnathiformes; Syngnathidae. The transcript is spliced from 2 exons.